This 253-nucleotide ribosomal RNA is filed under the name uncultured bacterium. RNAcentral's name for it is "partial 16S ribosomal RNA". It matches the Rfam family "Bacterial small subunit ribosomal RNA", at positions 524 to 776 of the family's 1533-position model. The record is from RNAcentral.
UACAGAGGUCCCAAGCGUUGUUCGGAUUCACUGGGCGUAAAGGGUGCGUAGGUGGCGGGGUAAGUCGGAUGUGAAAGCUCGGAGCUCAACUCCGAAAUGGCAUUGGAAACUACCCUGCUAGAGGAUUGGAGGGGGGACUGGAAUACUUGGUGUAGCAGUGAAAUGCGUAGAUAUCAAGUGGAACACCAGUGGCGAAGGCGAGUCCCUGGACAAUUCCUGACACUGAGACGCGAAAGCGUGGGGAGCAAACAGG